Long non-coding RNA from Physeter macrocephalus (sperm whale), 4896 nucleotides. RefSeq lists it as uncharacterized. The transcript is spliced from 6 exons. Lineage: Eukaryota; Metazoa; Chordata; Mammalia; Artiodactyla; Physeteridae. The record is from RefSeq and is a predicted model, not a curated record.
UGAUGAUGAUGAGAGAGAGAAUGUGCCUGUUUCUGAGAGAAGCUCUGGUAACAGGUUUCUGGGUAAAUGAAAGUUGUAUUGUCUUCCCUCAGAGAUGACUUGAAAAUAAAGUGCUUUAAAGCUAAUACUGCAGAUGUCUGCAGGAAACUCAGCACCACACUGAACACUGUAGUUAGAUAGCUGAGCGAAAAAGUACAUGAAGGAAGGGGCUAAUGUGCAUUACUUCUAUUUAAGAUAGAAGGAGGAAAUAGAAAUUGUGAUAGCAUGCUAUUUCAAGUAAUAAUAGAAAGUACUUGAUGUUUACACGGUGAAUGGAUCAAUACUAAUUCUGUAGUCAGCGCACAUGCAGUAGUUUGGAUUAUACGAGUGAUAGAUGCGCUCAGUAUAGCUGAAAUUUGCACCCUGCAACAUUCAUUUCUUGCUGCGUGUUAGAUGGAAUCUUCCACCCAACUAUCUGGAGGGAUUUACAUCAGAAUGGUGAUAGAGCAGAGUGUUCUUUAAUGAUGUGCUUUUCUUUGUUAAACUUCAAAAAUGUCUAUGGUGCAUGAUGAGGUUUGGGUGAAUUGCCAAGCUAAUGCUUUUCUAUUUUCUUUAAAGAGCUUAUCUUCAGCGUGUCGUGCGAGUUACUUUACACUGUGGUUAUAGAGGCAGUGGCAGCAAAGCUGAAUUUGUAGCAAUCCCCAAUAAAUGCCUCCUCCUCCUCUAGGGCUUGGUCUUGCUAAGAAGGGAAGGCUGCCUCUGGUUCCGCUGCAGUGAGUCCCUUGGAUUUGCUUUAUGUUCUCAUACCUGGUUUUGCUCACCAAGAAGUGAAGAGGUCAUUCUCCUGUUCAAACAGUGACCUCCUGCUAGCCUAAAUCAGCACUGUCCUUGUCAAAUGGGCUUGAGAUCAGCCCAACUGGAGCUCUCACGGAGGAUGAGUUGAAUUAUUCAGAUCAGAGCCUGGGAGCAACUGCAGUUUGGAGAGUGACCUUUUUGUCCUCCCCACCAGAACCUAAUGUUUACAAUGUGAGGAGGAAAAGGGACUGGAAUCUUGGGAAUUCCAGGAAUGCAUCCUCCAAGCAAAAGAAGCUUUCCUUCCUGGGUUGUGCCCUCCGGAGACUCUCCAGAAUCUGCUCCACAGCAAGGAUUUGCAAGUACAAAGGUGGAAACACAAAACCCCCAAAGCUGGAGCCCGCAAGGCUAAUCCAGUAGAGGACUUCACAUUAACCCCCGUUUCAAAGAAUUUGAAAGCCAAGAAUGGAAGGAAAUUUAAGGUCACCUAAUCCUACCCUUUGUCUAAAGCGUGAGUCUCUUUCCCAACAUAGCUUUGCAGCUCAUUGAUCAUCAGUUGCUGCUUGAAUACCUCUGAGGACAAAGAACUCAGUUCCUCUAAACAGCAAGGACAGUGAAACCGAGAAGGACCCCGUGGGGCUUCUGGUCAGGGAAGCCUUUUUGUCCCCCGUUUCUUGUAGGCAAGACUCCAGUCUCCAUGACCUUCCCUGAGUUCCAAAGGGCAGAUUCGAACAGUUGCUAAUCAAGGAGGGAACAGCCAAGAAGCCACCUGAGGCAAGAUUAAAGGGACCAGAGAAGCUCAUCAAGAUUAGAAGACCAACCACCUGAGACCAGACCAAGGGAGUGCAAGCCCUGCACACACCCGAAUCUUAUCAACAACUCCAUCCUUGAACUAUUACUAUAACACUCUUCAUUGGAUCCUCCCGGAUUGAGGCACAUAGUUUUCAAGGGCAGGAGCCCACUGUGUCCCCCUUUGCCUGGCAAAGCAAAAAAAAAACUGUUCUUUUCUACUUCACCUAAAACUCUGUCUCUGAGAUUUGAUUCUGCACUGGCGCAGAGAGGCCAAGCUUUUGGCAUCAACAGCAAUGACAUUAUAGGUAGGACUUACUAUGUGUCAGGCUUGUGAUACACCCUGAAGAGUCAUGAUCUCAUUUAAUGCUCACAACACCCUUAUGAGAACUAAUUGCGCCACCUCUUUUCCGAUGGGGGAACUGAGGCUUUGUGUGUUGCAGAGAAAGGAAUUAAGAGUGUGUGUUCUUAACCCCUGCACCCCUCGGCCCAGGCUGUCCCAUCCUCAGCAGCCCCAAUUGUUAUUUUCUGUCCCUUGGGGACACUUGGAAUACACUUUGCCAAUCUUGCACACACUAGCCCUUCCAACAUUUGAGGCAGCCUUCCUGUCCCUCAACCUGCCUCCCAGUUUUCCUUUUUUUCUAUUCCAUGCCAAACAUUGCUCUUUGUCUCAGUUUGGCGAGUUCCUCUGGACCCAUUCCUGCUUACCAAUGCUCUUCUCAAAACAUGUGUCAUUUCCCUUUGGAACAUUCUGAAGAGACCUUAUCAUUGUUGCCUUCUUCUUAUUAGGAGACAGUGGGCUCUGUUGGCGGCAGGGAUCCACGAAGGCAUCUAUUCUGGGUGCAGAGGGAGGCUUUCCAAAGAGCACAAGGUGAACUUUUUCCAUAGCUCUUUUCAGGGAGAAGGCAUUUAAAAAAUCCAGAGUAUUAAAAUAAGCCAGGGUUGAGCUUCGAUGUCAUUGCUGGUGGGAAAGGCAAUGUCAGAGUGAAGGACUUGGAGCCUUCGUGCAGGGUGUUCGCAGUGGUCCUCCCGGGUCCUGGGGGAGGCAGCUGCUCUUGGGUCUAACUCAGCCUCUGACCUGGACUCCCCGCAGCUCACUGGCAGGUCCCCGUGACCCUCUGCAUUAGCCUCCCGGCUUCUGAAAGGUGAUCAUGUUGUUGACACUCUGGAGUUGAAUUUCUCAUGGAGUGAGUUCUGACUCUGAAUCAGGCAAUCUCCGGCUUGCUGUGUGCCCUUGGGCAAAUCCCUCUUCGGGCUUUAGUAAAGUAGAGAUCAGUGUCUUCUUAACAGUGUUAAAUUAAUUAAGCAAGGAGAACAUGAGACUGAGGCAGUUCGGAUACCACGGGCGCCUACAUCAGCAAACCAAAAUCUAAGCCUGUAAACGCCUCAAAGCCACGAAAUCAAAACACUGAGGACAACCAAUCACAAAGGCCAGCCAGGCCCUAAGCUCCAGCCAAUCAAUAAUUUCCUUACUUUGCUUCUGUGUCUUCUCUAUGAAAGUCUCUCCCCAGCUCCCAUUGGUGGGGUUUGGUGCUGCCUGAUUGGGAUCAAUUUUUACUGAAAUAAACUCUUAAAAUGUUUAGUAUGAUGCAGUUUAUCUUUUAACAAUGCUGGUGUCAGAAGAGGAACCGAAGGAGGCCCCCGAGAGCCCCCAGGAGCAACAAGCAACCAGCUGGCCUCUCACUCUCUUCCCAACAAUGUCUGGGUUUCCCUCAAAGCUACCAAGUGCUAAUUUGAAAAAUAUGUUACCGACAAGUGGGAGAAAAGCAGGCAUCCAAUGUGAAAUGCCCUCUAGGGCGUGGAGGAACUCCCAGAGAGAGAGAGAGUGUGCGCGUGCGCGUGCACGCCCGUGCACCAGGGCUGCGUGCUCUCUGAGCACCAGGAAGAAAUGGGAGCGACUGAUGGAGACUGAGAAGCUCAUUUAUAGCUUGGUGACAUCUUGGGCGGCUGGAUGAAACCCUCCGUUGCAUUUAAGGUGCUGUGAACCUGGUGGGAAAGAAGAGACAUGUAGAGCAAUUAUCACAACACAGUGUGGUCUGUGCCAUCAUCUUAAAGGUGGGCUGUCAGUGCUGGGCCUAGGAGGCUCCCUCCUGAUCCCUGACUGCAAAAGAGCUCAGCUUGGUGCAGAAGACAAUAUAUACCUCUAAGCCUUGGCGUCUUUCUCCCUCUGGUCUGACGGUGCUCAGUCCUGGCGAAAGGUGAAGAACUGGAGACAUAGAGGAUUGAAGAAGAGCAAGUCAUGAUCCAAAUCAAGCCUGAAACCUCUUUCUAUUGAUUGCCUUACCUGUCAGUAACUCAAUAAGCAGUAUUGCCUCUUUCAAAAAUCAAUGGAUGGAAAUGCUAUGAGGAAACAAAUUGAGAGAAAUCUUCAUUCUUGAAUACAAGCAUGAAACAAUGCCCAUACCUCUCUGUACUCACUUCUCUACACUUGGCUCAGUCAGCUCCACGCACACUGAAAUUAAGGUGAAGGCCAGCUGGACUCCUUUUUUAUUUUUAUUUUUUUAAUUGAGGUAUCAUUGAUGUACAAUAUUAUAUAAGUUUCAAGUGUAAAACAUAGUUGUUCAUGAUUUUUAAAGGGUUUAUUCCAUUUGUAUUUAUUAUGAAAUAUUGGCUAUGUUCCCUGUGUUGUAUAACCAGCUAGACUCUUAUCCUGGGACUUUGGGAAGAAUCUGCUUCCAGGCUUAUUCAAGUUGUUGGUAGAAUUCAGUAUUUUGCAUUUGCAGGACUGAGAUUUUCAUCUUCUUUCUGGCUGUUCGCUGGGGGGUUCACUGUCAUCUCUAGAGGCUUCUCCGAGGUCCUUCCAUGUGGCCCCCUCCAUCUGAGCAUUAGAGAACCUCCCUUAUGUUGUUCCUCACUUUCUCUUUUGCUACCAACUGGAGAAAACUCUGCUUUUAUUGGGCUCAUGUGAUUAGGUUAGGCCCAUAUGCAUAAUCGUUCUGUCUUAGGGUCAAUGUCUGCAAAAUCCCUUUUGCCACAUAACAUAACAUAAUCAUGGAAAUCAAACCAAGGAGCAAAGGGUACCAUGGGGUCGUAUUAAAAUUCUGCCUGCCAUACCACAGAUUGGGCUCACUCUCUUUUCUCAAUUGUUAACUUUUCAGCAAAGUGUUUCCUGGAAUCUAUCUAAAAUUUCAACUGCUCCUCUUAUCCCCACCCAAACUUCUACCCCCUUUGCCUGUUUUUUUUUUUAAUUUCUUCUUUAGCACUUAUCAUCUAAUGUACAAUAUGUCUUACUUAUUUAUACUGUUUGUUAUCUGUCUUCUCCAGCACAUGUAAUCUCAAAGAGAUCAGGGACUUUGUUGUUCUCUGCCGUAUGUAGUUCUCACUGGUAGAAUGGUG